AUUAUUUAUGUAUGUGUUAGAAAGAAAGAAGUUAGAAGUUUCUCAUUUGGUCCAUAAAGAAAAUAUUUUAGUUCGAUAACAUAGAAAAUAAGAUAUUACUCUUUUAGCUAUAAAUCAAGAAACUUCUCCAUCUACAAUAGUAAUUGUGAUCUAGGACAUAUUUGGUUAUUUGCUAUGAGAGAGAGAGAGCAACAACAUCUUAAGCUUUCAUCAAAGAAAUAUAUAUAAGAGAUAAACUUAAAGACAUUUCGCUAUCUUUAGUUUUAUGUAGUGAUAUCGAU
This 281-nucleotide long non-coding RNA is filed under the name Carica papaya (papaya). Its description in RNAcentral is "long non-coding RNA (CPAP_LNC008930)". Lineage: Eukaryota; Viridiplantae; Streptophyta; Magnoliopsida; Brassicales; Caricaceae. The record is from RNAcentral.